RNAcentral lists this ribosomal RNA (500 nucleotides) under uncultured bacterium. RNAcentral's name for it is "partial 16S ribosomal RNA". It matches the Rfam family "Bacterial small subunit ribosomal RNA", at positions 28 to 523 of the family's 1533-position model. The record is from RNAcentral.
GACGAACGCUGGCGGCGUGCCUAAUACAUGCAAGUCGAGCGGACCACUUCGGUGGUCAGCGGCGGACGGGUGAGUAACACGUGGGCAACCUGCCUGUAAGACUGGGAUAACACCGGGAAACCGGUGCUAAUACCGGAUAAUCCUUUCCUUCACAUGAAGGGAAGCUGAAAGACGGUUUCGACUGUCACUUACAGAUGGGCCCGCGGCGCAUUAGCUAGUUGGUGAGGUAACGGCUCACCAAGGCAACGAUGCGUAGCCGACCCGAGAGGGUGGUCGGCCACACUGGGACUGAGACACGGCCCAGACUCCUACGGGAGGCAGCAGUAGGGAAUCUUCCGCAAUGGACGAAAGUCUGACGGAGCAACGCCGCGUGAGCGAUGAAGGCCUUCGGGUCGUAAAGCUCUGUUGUCAGGGAAGAACAAGUACCGGAGUAACUGCCGGUACCUUGACGGUACCUGACCAGAAAGCCACGGCUAACCACGUGCCAGCCGCCGCAGUAA